RNAcentral lists this ribosomal RNA (449 nucleotides) under uncultured bacterium. RNAcentral describes it as "partial 16S ribosomal RNA". It matches the Rfam family "Bacterial small subunit ribosomal RNA", at positions 29 to 523 of the family's 1533-position model. The record is from RNAcentral.
AACGAACGCUGGCGGCAGGCUUAACACAUGCAAGUCGAACGAGAUCUUCGGGGACAGUGGCAGACGGGUGAGUAACGCGUGGGAAUCUACCUUGUGGUACGGAACAACCAAGGGAAACUUUGGCUAAUACCGUAUGAGCCCUUCGGGGGAAAGAUUUAUCGCCAUAAGAUGAGCCCGCGUAGGAUUAGCUAGUUGGUGAGGUAAAGGCUCACCAAGGCGACGAUCCUUAGCUGGUCUGAGAGGAUGACCAGCCACACUGGGACUGAGACACGGCCCAGACUCCUACGGGAGGCAGCAGUGGGGAAUAUUGGACAAUGGGCGCAAGCCUGAUCCAGCCAUGCCGCGUGUGUGAUGACGGCCUUAGGGUUGUAAAGCACUUUCGCCGAUGAAGAUAAUGACUGUAGUCGGAGAAGAAGCCCCGGCUAACUUCGUGCCAGCCGCCGCCGUAA